This 254-nucleotide ribosomal RNA is filed under the name uncultured bacterium. RNAcentral's name for it is "partial 16S ribosomal RNA". It matches the Rfam family "Bacterial small subunit ribosomal RNA", at positions 524 to 776 of the family's 1533-position model. The record is from RNAcentral.
UACGUAGGGGGCAAGCGUUGUCCGGAUUUACUGGGCGUAAAGGGCGCGUAGGCGGCCACCGCAAGUCGGUUGUGAAAUCUCCGGGCUUAACCCGGAAAGGUCAACCGAUACUGCGGGGCUAGAGUGCAGAAGGGGCAACUGGAAUUCUCGGUGUAGCGGUGAAAUGCGUAGAUAUCGAGAGGAACACCUGCGGCGAAGGCGGGUUGCUGGGCUGACACUGACGCUGAUGCGCGAAAGCUAGGGGAGCGAACGGG